This 259-nucleotide ribosomal RNA is filed under the name uncultured Glomus. RNAcentral's name for it is "partial 18S ribosomal RNA". It matches the Rfam family "Eukaryotic small subunit ribosomal RNA", at positions 624 to 886 of the family's 1831-position model. Lineage: Eukaryota; Fungi; Glomeromycota; Glomeromycetes; Glomerales; Glomeraceae. The record is from RNAcentral.
AAGCUCGUAGUUGAAUUUCGGGGUUAGUAGGUUGGUCAUGCCUCUGGUAUGUACUGGUCUCACUGAUUCCUCCUUCCUUAUGAACCGUAAUGCCAUUAAUUUGGUGUUGCGGGGAAUUUGGACUGUUACUUUGAAAAAAUUAGAGUUGUUUAAAGCAAGCUAACGCUUGAAUACAUUAGCAUGGAAUAAUGAAAUAGGACGUUCAAUCUUAUUUUGUUGGUUUCUAGGAUUGACGUAAUGAUUAAUAGGGAUAGUUGGG